AUAAUGCAAGUCGAGCGGACAGAUGGGAGCUUGCUCCCUGAUGUUAGCGGCGGACGGGUGAGUAACACGUGGGUAACCUGCCUGUAAGACUGGGAUAACUCCGGGAAACCGGGGCUAAUACCGGAUGGUUGUCUGAACCGCAUGGUUCAGACAUAAAAGGUGGCUUCGGCUACCACUUACAGAUGGACCCGCGGCGCAUUAGCUAGUUGGUGAGGUAACGGCUCACCAAGGCGACGAUGCGUAGCCGACCUGAGAGGGUGAUCGGCCACACUGGGACUGAGACACGGCCCAGACUCCUACGGGAGGCAGCAGUAGGGAAUCUUCCGCAAUGGACGAAAGUCUGACGGAGCAACGCCGCGUGAGUGAUGAAGGUUUUCGGAUCGUAAAGCUCUGUUGUUAGGGAAGAACAAGUGCCGUUCAAAUAGGGCGGCACCUUGACGGUACCUAACCAGAAAGCCACGGCUAACUACGUGCCAGCAGCCGCGGUAAUACGUAGGUGGCAAGCGUUGUCCGGAAUUAUUGGGCGUAAAGGGCUCGCAGGCGGUUUCUUAAGUCUGAUGUGAAAGCCCCCGGCUCAACCGGGGAGGGUCAUUGGAAACUGGGGAACUUGAGUGCAGAAGAGGAGAGUGGAAUUCCACGUGUAGCGGUGAAAUGCGUAGAGAUGUGGAGGAACACCAGUGGCGAAGGCGACUCUCUGGUCUGUAACUGACGCUGAGGAGCGAAAGCGUGGGGAGCGAACAGGAUUAGAUACCCUGGUAGUCCACGCCGUAAACGAUGAGUGCUAAGUGUUAGGGGGUUUCCGCCCCUUAGUGCUGCAGCUAACGCAUUAAGCACUCCGCCUGGGGAGUACGGUCGCAAGACUGAAACUCAAAGGAAUUGACGGGGGCCCGCACAA
RNAcentral lists this ribosomal RNA (895 nucleotides) under Bacillus subtilis. Its description in RNAcentral is "bacterial SSU rRNA". It matches the Rfam family "Bacterial small subunit ribosomal RNA", at positions 51 to 928 of the family's 1533-position model. Lineage: Bacteria; Bacillati; Bacillota; Bacilli; Caryophanales; Bacillaceae. The record is from RNAcentral.